CCUACGGGAGGCUGCAGUGGGGAAUAUUGCACAAUGGGGGAAACCCUGAUGCAGCAACGCCGCGUGAGUGAAGAAGUAAUUCGGUACGUAAAGCUCUAUCAGUAGGGAAGAAACUCUGACCUUACAGUCAGUAGACGGUACCUGAGUCAGUAGCCGCGGCUAACUACGUGCCAGCAGCCGCGGCAAUACGUAGGGGGCAAGCGUUAUGCGGACUUAUUGGGGGUAAAGGGAGCGUAGACGGUACGCCAAGUCAGGAGUGAAAUGCCGUGGCUUAACUGCGGAACUGCAUUUGAAACUGGUGAUCUAGAGUGUGGGAGAGGUAAGCGGAAUGCCUAGUGUAGCGGUGAAAUGCGUAGAUAUUAGGAGGAACACCGAUGGCGAAGGCGGCUUACUAGACCGUAACUGACGUUGAGGCUCGAAAGCGUGGGGAGCAAACAGGAUUAGAUACCCUAGUAGUC
This 458-nucleotide ribosomal RNA is filed under the name uncultured bacterium. RNAcentral describes it as "partial 16S ribosomal RNA". It matches the Rfam family "Bacterial small subunit ribosomal RNA", at positions 338 to 795 of the family's 1533-position model. The record is from RNAcentral.